Molecule: long non-coding RNA, 4189 nt
Filed under: Triticum aestivum (bread wheat)
Lineage: Eukaryota; Viridiplantae; Streptophyta; Magnoliopsida; Poales; Poaceae
Description: long non-coding RNA (TAES_LNC004137)
Source: RNAcentral
UAGGCCCGGCCGGCCCUCUCCUUCCCUCCCCUCGGCAGUACGGCCCCUCCGGCCUCGGCCUCCGGGCUCCGGCAACCCGGCUCCGCCCUCCCCGAACAGCACAAGAGUUUCCUCCGCCUCCGAGAUCCGGCCGGCCUCCAGUGCUCCCUCGACGGCUCCACGCGGACCACGCCUCCACUGCUGACCGUCCUGCUCCUCCAGCAUAGCUCCAGUGCUCCACCAAGGUACUUGGCUUUUUGCCCUCUGUUUUUCUUAAGAAAUCUGAAGAUUUGUUUGUGAACUGAAAUGAACUAAAUGGACAUUGGAGUUUGAAGAAGAAGGAUGUUUAUGUGAUGGAUUUGAUGCCACAUUGCCACUGCCACCGAUUUCUACUUUGUUUAUGUGAUUGUGAUGUAGAUGAAGAAGAAAUAUGUUAGCUUGUUUGAAUUGUGCGACAAAUCUUCAAAGGCAAGGAAAAUAAGUUCUACAUCCACACCAACUGCUAUUUCCGUUGAGGUUGAGAGCAACCUACAGCUAGCACUAGUGCAUACACAUGACGAAGCUCCGCAACCGGAGAGGGAGAGAGGCUCCCCGUCCCCAAUUGUAGAAGAUGAUGAAGCGGUUGAUGAAGAUGAUGAACCAAGUCCCCAAUUCGAAGCAGAUUUGGCGGCUCUGGAACGUGAUCCUGGCAAGCGACUUCCCAUAUCUUCAUAUCAUGUCAAUGACCAGGAUGUAGUUAGAAGGAGAUACAGUGACUUGGGAGCUUGUGAACCAAAGGGUCACAAAUUUGAGAUCAGAGAUUUUAGUGGACAUCCCUGUCGCUUUUGUCCUUCUUGGUUUAAGGAUCACAAGUGGCUUGAGUAUAGUGUGGACAAAGAGGUCAUGUUCUGCUUUGUUUGCUAUUUGUUCAAGGAUAAAACAAAAAGCCCUGGUGGAGAUCCAUUUGUUAAGGGUGGGUUUAGAAACUGGAACAUGAAAGCAAGAUUGACAAGGCAUGUUGGUGAUGUAAGUAGUGCUCACACUGUAGCUCAAGAGAAAUAUGAUAUGUUCACUACAUGUCGGAGUAAUGGGCCACGGGUAGCCUAACCCGAGUCCCAGAACCUUUCAAGACAUCGGGGCCGGCUGCGCCCCUCAGGACAUUGAGAUGAAGCGCCGCCUUCUGUUGGCCGGCUGGCCCAAGCGGCCGGCUGCCAGAAAGCGGCUAAGCUCCAGAAGGCAGCACCAAGACGGGCCGACUCCUUGCAGGCGGCCUCCAGAGAGGCCGGCUUCUAGCAGGCGGCCCAUGGCGCCCUCUGAGUCUGCGCCCCCAUUAAGGAAGACAAGACAUGGUGAGGCUACAGUGUAGCCCAUCAUGCCUGUAUCCAGGGCCGGGUGUGGCCACGGUGCUCCGUACAGGCGGAGAUCUCCGCCCGGCGCGGCACUGUUGCCACUCCGCCCCUGACGUCGCAACUGACAGGGAGAGCCCUGUUCCCACGACGGCCUGUCGGUACGGCCUGCAGGCGGCGGGCCCUACCAGGCAGCGAGAGCCUGGAAGACGGCGGAGGCCUGACCAGCCGGACCUGAGGGAGGCCGGCUUCCAGUAGGCGGCCCGUUCCUUCCUUGGGGCCCAUGCGCCAUUAACCAGAUGAGACACGGUGUGACUAUAGUGAUCUCCCAUCAGGCGGCGGGACUGUAGCCACGCUCCCCUGACCAAGUGUGCGUCAUUAGCGUCACGGCUACAGUAAUCAGCAGCCGACCAGACCCACAAGCGGCGGAGGCGGCCUGUCGGCUCCGUACUAGACCAGUCGGCGGGGCCCAUCAGGCGGCGGGCCGCAGCAGCCGGCGGAGAAGCCGGCGACCAGAGGCACUGACAGUCGGGUCCUACACCCGGCCAGAUUACCAUUGUACCCCUAGUGGUAGGCCAAUAUAAACCCCCCAGGGCACCCAUGCAAAGGGUUCCCAACCUGUUAGAACUAGACUCAUACCUAGAGGAAGGAGAGAGCGCGCCUUCCUUCUUCUACCUCUAGCAUACAGCUCGAGGAGCACCAUUGUAUCCACCAGUGCCUUAGUGAUCAUGCGGAGACCCCCGAGAGCAGGACUAGAGGUGUUAUCUCCUAGGAGAGCCCCGAACCUGGGUAAAGUGCGCCGGUGUUCGUGUCUACGCCUCAUCCCGCUUCCAGGCACCGGCGACGUUCUACUCGCUCCCACCAUGAUAAGCCAUCCAUUGGCAUAUGUCGCACCCAACCCCCGACAUUUGGCGCCCACCAUGGGGCAAGGUGCACCGUCUCCCGGAGACCUGUUUUGGACGGGAACCUUGUUCCUUCCUGGCGAGCUCAGCCAGCCCAGCACGCCAGACGGCGUCUGCGCUGACGCGCUGCAAGGCGCGGAGGUCGCCUGUGCGGCGAGCUACCUCGCCGAUCUUGUUGGCGAGAUCCGCCUCUCCGACGAGCCCGCAUCCGACGCGGGCACAGAAGGCCCCGAGAGCCGCCUCGUUAGCCUCCUCGAUCAGCUCCACGUCGGCAGCGAGCCUGCUGUGGACUUGGAGUCGGUCGGCUCCACCGACCCGAUGCUUGUCGACUCCGACACAGCGUCGCUUGACGCGUUCCCCACCAACAUGGUGGUCUCCGACGAACCGCUUCCUCGCGCGGACAGCGGUGGUAGCACCGUCACGGAGGUGCUCGUCAUCAACCACGGCGAGCACUCUGGCGGGGGUGGCCCGGAUCCGUUGCAGGCGGCGAUGCAAGGCCUGACUGCGCCCAUCCCGGAAGACGCUGAAGUCGAGAGGCUGGAGGCACGCCGUGUCCAGCUCGUCGAAAGCGCCAACCGGCUGGCCAGCAUGAGACGCCUUUCGGAGGCCUACCAGCGUGAGAUGGACCGUGCCGUCGGCGGCACGCCGGCUCCUGGUGGGCCUAGCCGUAUUGGCCAGAUCCGACAGCGUGGCGCGACCAUCGCCAGCAUGUUCAAGACAGAUCGUCCCGUCUACGCCACGCCUGCGGAGAACAUACGAGCUGCCCAGGCGGCAGCAGACGAGCUAGAAAAGCUCGAGGGCGACGAGCGUCACCACAUGACGGAGCGCGUCCAGCAGCUCCUUGACGCGGCUGCUGAGCAGCAAGAGGCCGGGUGCCGCACUGAAGCACCCAACCGGCGAAACGACGACCCGCCUCCCCGCCGGACCAAGGCGCGACAUCCCGGACACCGACUGGUGGCGUCCGCGGUAGAAGAGACAAGGAGCCGGCUGCCAGCCGCAGCCAGACUCGCAUCACCAUCGAGCGCGACCAAUACGGCCGCCCAAGAGGAGUGGAACGACGGGACGACUGUCCGCCUCCACCUCCCCCCUGCAGGGAGAGGUGCGUCUCCCCGCCGCCUGUUGAUCACCCGACACUCGGCGACCGCCUUGGCCGCCGAGAAGGAGUCGGAGAGAACGAUGCCCGCCAUCAGAUCGACCGCCUCAACCGAUCCCUGGCGCUAGAAGAAGAAGAUGAAUUGGGUCCGCCUUGUUUUGGCCCCCGCAUCCGAGAUGAGCCCUUCCCCAAAGGGUUCACGCUCCCAAGAGAUACGCCCAAGUACACCGGCUCCGUGAAGCCGGAAGACUGGCUGGUCGACUACUCCACAGCCGUCAGCAUCGCGAACGGCAACAAGCGUGUUGCCGUGAAGUACGUUCCGCUCAUGCUCCAGGGCACAGCCCGGACAUGGCUGAACAACCUGAAGCCCCGCAGCAUCAACAGCUGGGUCGAUUUCAUCGAAGCCUUCAUCCGCAACUUCACCAACACGUACAAGCGGCCGCCCAAGCCUCGCCAGUUCUCCUUAUGCGUCCAAGGCCCCAACGAGUCGACUCGCGACUACCUCACGUUCUGGGCCGAGCUGCGCAACUCUUGCGAGGGCGUCCACGAGGUGCAGGCCAUCGAGUACUUCACCGCCGGGUGCCGAGAAGGCACCCUCCUCAAGCACAAGCUUCUUUGCGACGAGCCGACGACCCUCGACGAACUGCUGAUCAUAGCAGACAAGUACGCCAUGAUACGUCCAUUUUGCAUCAUGCUUUUAUAUCGAUAUUUAUUGCAUCAUUGGCUAUUAUCACUCAUUAUGUCACAAUAAUUAUGCCUAUUCUCUCUUAUUUUACAAGGUUUACAUAAGGAGGGAGAAUGCCGGCAGCUGGAAUUCCGGGCUGGAAAAGGAGCAAAAUAUUAAAGACCUAUUCUGCACAAAUCCAAAAGUCCUGAAACUCCACGAAAGU